UCAAUACUCCCUCCGCCGGGAAUUACUUGUCACAAAAAAUGAUAAAAGUAGAUGUAUUUAGAACUAAAAUACAUCUUACUUCUAGAUACAUUCAUUUCUUCGACAAGUAAUUUCGGACGGAGGGAGUACAUA
Triticum aestivum (bread wheat) is the source of this 132-nucleotide non-coding RNA. Lineage: Eukaryota; Viridiplantae; Streptophyta; Magnoliopsida; Poales; Poaceae. The record is from Rfam.